ACUCCUACGGGAGGCAGCAGUGGGGAAUAUUGCACAAUGGGGGAAACCCUGAUGCAGCCAUGCCGCGUGUGUGAAGAAGGCCUUCGGGUUGUAAAGCACUUUCAGUAGGGAGGAAGGUAGUGUAGUUAACACCUGCAUUAUUUGUACGUUACCUACAGAAGAAGCACCGGCUAACUCCGCGCCAGCAGCCGCGGUAAGUACGGAGGGUGCGAGCGUUAAUCGGAAUUACUGGGCGUAAAGCGCAUGCAGGCGGCCUGUUAAGUCAGAUGUGAAAGCCCGGGGUCUUAACCUCGGAAUUGCAUUUGAAACUGGCAGGCUAGAGUCUUGUAGAGGGGUUAGAA
RNAcentral lists this ribosomal RNA (341 nucleotides) under uncultured bacterium. RNAcentral's name for it is "bacterial SSU rRNA". It matches the Rfam family "Bacterial small subunit ribosomal RNA", at positions 335 to 665 of the family's 1533-position model. The record is from RNAcentral.